CCAGGAACCUGCACCUGCACCUGCACCUGUACCUAAACCUUCGACAUCGAAAGGUUCAAGUACAGGUUCCAAAGCGCCCAGGCCGAGGCGCGGCAGACCAACCGGUGCAAACCGGACCCCUCUCUCCCUGGAAGAACGGCGCGCAAGAAAUGCGCAGUACGAAAGGGAGAGGAGGGAGGAUUUAGCCCAGGCCCAGGCUGAGCUAGCUGAGGCCGCUGGGUGCGACCCAAAUGUAUCGGAGGCCGACUUGUUGGCAUUUGUAGUCAAUAAGUUGAGUGCAGACAAAUUAGAAGUAAAGCAGAGCAUUGAAGAAUACAGGCGGUUAAACGCCAAGUUGGAGGCACAGAUUGCCAGUUGUCUCCAGCGGUUGGGCCCGGACUAUGUUGAUAGUGAUGAUGAUGAGGAGGUGCAGCUGGAAGAGCCCAAUGGUCGGAAACGUAAAUCAUCAGAUGAGACGGUUGGUG
This is a long non-coding RNA of Spodoptera frugiperda (fall armyworm), 464 nucleotides long. RefSeq lists it as uncharacterized. The record is from RefSeq and is a predicted model, not a curated record. Lineage: Eukaryota; Metazoa; Arthropoda; Insecta; Lepidoptera; Noctuidae. The transcript has 5 exons.